Molecule: ribosomal RNA, 497 nt
Filed under: uncultured bacterium
Lineage: Bacteria
Description: partial 16S ribosomal RNA
Rfam family: Bacterial small subunit ribosomal RNA
Source: RNAcentral
GAUGAACGCUGGCGGCGUGCCUAAUACAUGCAAGUCGAGCGAACAGACGAGGAGCUUGCUCCUCUGACGUUAGCGGCGGACGGGUGAGUAACACGUGGAUAACCUACCUAUAAGACUGGGAUAACUUCGUGAAACCGGAGCUAAUACCGGAUAAUAUAUUGAACCGCAGGGUUCAAUAGUGAAAGACGGUUUUGCUGUCACUUAUAGAUGGAUCCGCGCCGCAUUAGCUAGUUGGUAAGGUAACGGCUUACAAAGGCAACGAGGCGUAGCCGCCCUGAGAGGGUGAAUGGCUACACUGGUAGUGAGACACGGUCCAGACUCCGACGGGAGGAAGCAGUCGGGAAUCUUACGCAAGGGGCGAGAGGCGGAUGGAGCAAAGCCGCGUGAGUCAUGAAGUUGUUCGGACGCUAAAACGCUGAUAGUAGGGGAGAAGUAAUGUGUAAGUAACUGUGCAGGUAUUGACGGUACCUAAUGAGAAAGCCACGGCUAACUACGUG